RNAcentral lists this long non-coding RNA (892 nucleotides) under Accipiter nisus (Eurasian sparrowhawk). RNAcentral describes it as "lncRNA (ENSANIG00000002157.1)". Lineage: Eukaryota; Metazoa; Chordata; Aves; Accipitriformes; Accipitridae. The record is from RNAcentral.
GCUGAAGAAACCAGAGAUGGAUACAAAUCCAGCAGAUGAGAGCUUGGAAAGGUAGGAUCUCAGCAUUUGCUGCUACCCCCUGCACCGAGCACAGACCUAUUCUCAGAGGACUUCUAUCUCUUCUCGUUUGUGUGAAUGACAAGCAAGGAAUUGUCAGCCACUAAAAGAAAGGAUAUUUCUAAGCUUUCGAACGGAGACAGUGCUACUGAAAAGAGCCAUCUGAAGUUAUCAAAGCUACAGAAUGGGAAAGAAAAACUUUGUCAGAAGUAUCCAUCUACUGAGGACACGGAUGCAGUCACAGCUCAGAGCUAUGUCUCCACUGCAGAAUUUCAGCAGCUCCUCAGGUAUACAGCCGAGUUGGGGAAGGAAUUAAAUAACACUAAUGCAAAACUCAGGAAAAUUAUGAAAAGCAUGCAGCAACUGAAGGACACUUCAGGCAAGACAGCACAGUGAAAUGCAUGGGCUCUGGUAACAGAGAUGGCCUGACUCUACACACAGCUUAAAUCGAAAUUCCCGUCCCCAUCCUCCCCUUUAUUUUUUUUCUAUUUCUGGAUAAGAGAAGCAGGAAUGUUAAUAAAGGUAUAUACCAUUGUUGCUUCUGGGUCUUUUCUCUGAGAGUUGCAGGUGAUUAUUUUAACUCUUGAGACGAAACGACCAACCUUGCUAGAGUUCUGGGUAGGCAUCUCUACAAAUGCCUGAAUGAUGACAUUUAUUCCUCUACCUUGUUUUGGGGCUGCUGUGAGAGACAGAUGUGUAACCAAGAGAGCAGAUCACAAGCAAUGGCAGCAUCCUGGGCCUGCUCUGUACCCUUCUCUCGAUCUGUGGCUCGACGGAGCCCAGUACAACCCUCUGUCGCCAAGCACAGUCCAGCAUACAGGUCAUUAGCCCUCCC